UAAAAGUGGAGACCAGCAGCCACUAAAAAAACGGGGCGUCAUCGAAAAGCCACACGAGUAGAAGAAUA
Molecule: non-coding RNA, 68 nt
Organism: Flavobacterium sp. AED
Lineage: Bacteria; Pseudomonadati; Bacteroidota; Flavobacteriia; Flavobacteriales; Flavobacteriaceae
Source: Rfam